Molecule: non-coding RNA, 152 nt
Organism: Arachis ipaensis
Lineage: Eukaryota; Viridiplantae; Streptophyta; Magnoliopsida; Fabales; Fabaceae
Source: RefSeq, a predicted model, not a curated record
AAUGCCAUUGAAAAGGAGUUAGCCAAAGUGAAAUUAAAUUCACACUUCAAGUUGCUCUUUGCUGUGGAUGAUGGUGUAUCAUGUAUGUAUUAGUGUUUAUAUAGAUUAGAUGAACUUUUAUAUGAAUAAUCUGAUCUUUAAGUGUUAUGGAA